UGAAUAGGACAAUAUUCCACAUGCCCAUGACUAUCAGAUGGACCGAAAUGGAAUAGAGACAAAAUUAAAGGAAUAAAUUAAAAAUAAGAAUGAAUGAAUUUAAAACAUUUAAAAAUGCGGAAGGACCCAUAGUGAAAAUGACCCACUUUAGCCUUGAAAAUAAUGCUGCCGUUUCUAUGGCCAUUUAAGCCAUUUUUUUUUUCUUUUUUUUUUUUAUUUCAGCUUAUAUUUAAAAAAAAAAAAGAGGAAAACAGAGGGCCUUUGCCCCCUCUCCUUCUCCCUUUCCUAUUUUUCUCCUUUGGCUAAGGUUAGGAAACCUAUCAUCGCCGCUAUUACCACGGCAACACCACAAGCGAUGGUCGACGACGCGAAUGGGUGAGGUCAUUUAGCCCCUUUUCAAGGCGUCCCCGAAGGCUACGCCUUCUCGGUCUUCCCCCAUUCGGUUCAACCCCGACAACGGAAGAAGAACCCCGGUGACGAAACUUCAGACAAUCCCGGUGAGGCCUUCUUUCUUUUUCUUUUUAAUUGAUCUUAUGUCUGCCUCCUUUUCUUUUAAAUGAGUUUGUAUUCAAAUAUCAGUAAAAACAAAGUAAUGAAUAGAACGCGAAAAAGUAUAUCGAGAUCAACCUUAGAUAUUUGUUCUCUUCUUUGAUUCAAAAUGUACGUGCCCUCUCCCCCUUUUACAAAUGAUCGAUUUUUACUUUUUAAAGCCGAUCUCCCCCAACACAUUCGUUUCUUUUUUUGUUUUUGUUCCUUUUUUUUAUUUCUUCUUGUCAUUCGCAUGCUUUCUUUUGAUGUCGUGUUUGUUCUUGUUGCAGGUGCCAUGCGACGCGUGGAAGGGGCGACGGUCAGGGGCGUGGUGGCCGAGGUGGCAUGCGUGGUGGUGUGCGAGGCGGCCACUGGUUGGCCUGGUGUGCGGCUGAGGCUUGGGGGCUGAGUUUUUUUUGCUGCUGAAAAUGUUUAGUUUGUUGGGCUAGGUCGGCUUUAGGGUUUUGUAUUAUUUGGGUCAUUAUAAUUGGGUUUGGGCUGUUCAAUGUGGAUAUUGGGCUUGCUGUUUUUUUUUCUUUUUUUUUUUGUAAAAUGGACUUUGUUUUGGGACUUUUAUAUUUUGGAAUUAAUUUGGGUUUUUAUUUCUUGUUGGCGCUGAAAUUGGCUGUAAAUGGGUGAAGGAAAGCUUUUAUUCAUUCAAUUCCUUCUUGUCAAUUUUGUAUCUUCUGGAAAUCUAUCCUUUUAGCCGAUAUAUGUUUAAUUUGAGUUGAACUUUCAAAGAAAAAGCCAAUACUAGUAUUUCACCCCAUAUUCACAAUUGUCAAAGGAUCUUAACUCUCCAUCAGAUGAUGAUGUUGAUAAUAAUAAUAAUAAGUCAGGUCAUGGUGCUUAAGCUUGAUCCACCGUGACGAAAACAUUUGCGGGCAUAGCGAGAUCAGACUCAAUCACAACUUGAUUUUCAGACACAUUUCUCAGGGCAUGGCUAGGAAAUGAGCUGCCCCUGCUUGAUCUUAGUGAAUACUGAACAUGCUUAAUCAGGUUAGGAAAUAAAAGAACAGGAUUAAAAUCAACCGUCCUGGAGCUGCUAUUCCCUUCAACAGACCCUCUCGCAACUGUUGCUUUAAUGUUCAUCCCCUUGGCACUAUUCCUAUCAACUACAACCUGAUCAAUUUCUGUGAAAGGACCCUCUAACUGGAUUAUAUCAACCCCCUUAUUAGAUCCACUGAACAUGUUAUCCACUACAGUCACUCCAUUUGCUACCCCAUUUAUUGAUUUCAAGAGGAUAAAUGCAUCACCGAGGAAAAAACUGCUAGAGAUAUGAAGUUGCACUGGGUCUUCAGCCACAAUCCCAGUGUAAUCUAGGUAUGAAUUCACUAUCCGGGUUUGUGUAAGACCAGGCAGCUUCAAGUAAAUCCCCGUGCCACCAAAACCUGUUGCCUUGUUGUAACAAUGCACCCCAGAAAAAGUGUUGGCUUGACCUGAGGCCAUUAUUCCUAUGGCAGCUGAAAAAAUCACCACAUCCGUCACUGCAUUAUCGUUUCCCAUUAGGUUAAUUGCAGUGCCGGUAUAGUUCCUUUCGCCUGCAUCACCACCGGCCGUGAUAUGUUGCCCAAGGAAAGAAUUCCUGAUAUAGGUCUCGUGCCCGCCUUGGACUAAAAUUCCAUUAGUGGAGAAAUGGGCAAUCUAGCAAUUGUCAAUGCUAGUCCUUAGUGAGUUUAUAACUGAAAUGCCACCACCUCUGUAAUUAGAAUCCAACAUCAGGUCUCUGAGGGUUAUGUACUCGUAGUUAUAGGAUGACGAUGAUGAGGUAAGCUGUGAAUUCAAUUUCAAGGAGCUCCCUUUUCUUAUUUCUUGUUCAGUUCUGCUAGCCCAUGAAUUUGGAGACAAAUCAAUAAGAUACCCAUCAACCGGAAAAUCAUCUGAGGCUCGUAGUGUCCCUCCGUGGAUCUGCUCCAUAUAUAAUUUAAAUAAAGAAAUACCCAACUCAGCAAAUUCAAACAAAGUUUUAUUUGGUGAUAUAGUUUAUAUGCUUCAUUAAUUAAUCUGACGUUGUUAGAUACCAAAAAAGAAAAAAAAUAACUCGACGUUGUUAAUUAAUGAAACCUCAACAUACGUAAAUUUUAUAUAUGUUAUAUUACGUCAAUUACAGAAUCUAGACCCAGACUCUCUCUUCUCCAACGAUUGCUCAUUGGAAUUCAGUAUGGUGAGCAGGUCUACAAUGUUGCAAAAUGUACAUACUAUAUUAUAUUAUAUACAGUCUGUGCCAGUUUAACCAAUUGGAAUUAGGUGCACAUCAUCUCAUUUUCAUAUGAUAAAAAAGGUCGUCAUUUCAGUCUUCAACAAAUAUGUUAUCAUCAAUUCCAAACAUGCACAUAUCCUACUAGCUAUUAUUAUUACCAUUUUUUCUAUCCUAGAAAAGACCGAUUGCUUUGCUUUGAGAGUUAAGUGCCGAAACAUUAACAUAUAGAAAUCUGCAAUUUUCUCAGGGACGACAUAAGUCAUCCAACCAGGUGGGUUUCAUUCACCAAAAACACCAGAUGCUUAUAUGUGUGUAUGUGUGGUACUGCUAGCAUAGAAACGGUAAUUAAGUAGGUAGAUGAUGAGCCAAUAUAAAUACAAGUAUAUAUAUUGUUCUACUUUAUAAAGAAAGAUUAUGACAUGACAUCAAUUAGCUAGUAUAAAAGAUAAUUUCAAUUGAUUAAAAAUGUUUGGUUGCGCAUACCAUAAGAUUUCCUGCACCGGCAGCAACUAACUGCAAUGGUUUACUGAUAAGGUAGUUCCCACCUUCAAGAUUAAUUUGUGGCCCUCCAAGAUUAGUGAUCCCCUCCAUCAAGAACCCUUCACUAGGAACCUGAAAUGCAUCCGCGAUUGCCUUGUUUAGUGCUUCUGUGCUGUCUGAUUUCCCCGUUGGGUCUGCUCCAUAAUUUGUUACAUGAUACACACGUGGACCUAUGGCUUCCUAUAUAUCCAAAUCCAUUCUCAAUUACAUUGCAUUAAUUUAAUUAAUUAACAUCGUUCCGCCAUUGAGGAAAUGUUAGAAAUUAGAUGCACAAGAAAUUAUUUACCUGCAGUGGCGAAGAAGAGGAUGAUGAAGAAGAGGGCGAGAUAGGUGAAACUGAAACGGAUUGUCGACCAAUAAGAGAAGCCUUAAACGCUUGCAAUUGGCGCAUUUGGUCGUGGUAAGGAGAAGCAGAAAACUUUCCCACUCGUGAAUUAUCGCCAGAAACAUGGAUUAGGAACAAACCCAAUAUCAUGGAGAGUGUUGCUACAGCAAUAUUCCUUCCUCCCAUGUUUCUUCUCUCCAUCAUCUUUCGAUCUGUUUUCUCUCCGUUUUGAGAGAGAGACAUACGGUUUAAAUGACGAAGGGAAGGAGCAAGAGGAGGAACAUGGAAAGAGAAGGGGCUAACUAAGAUUUGCUAGGAAAUCUAUAGAAUGUUUUAUAAUAUUAGAUCACACACAUGACACCUAUAGUUUCUGUUUAAAUGUGUGGGGGAUUUUUAGACAUGACUUGCGAGGAUAGCUUGCUUAGGUAAAGCCUGUUUGAAAUUUAAUUUCUUGUCUGACAAUGGAUAAAAAAAAUAUUCUUGUUUGACAAAACACUAAUCACUUAUCAGCUUCUUAUCAACUUUUUACCAACUUCUUAUAUUCAUGAAUUGAUAUCUUGCGUUGAUGGACCCAGACCUUCGCAUGAGAACGAGAAGGAGAAAAAAAAAUUUCUUCAAUUUUCUGCUGAUUCACAUAUCAAAUGAGUAGAAUAUUUAUAUACACACAAAUUAAAUAAUUGAUUAUUAAACGCAUAUAAAUUAAUUGUGGAGUGAAAUUAAAGAAUAUUAAAAAUGCAAUUAAGAGUGAAUAUGUAUAUGUUACAAUAAGGAACCAAUAAAUUGAAAUAUUACUAGGCAUGUGAUGUAAGUAACAUACAGAGCAUGAUAAAUUUAAUUGAGAGAUGAAUUAAAUGGGAAGGAACAAAUAUAAUGGUAGAAGACUAGCUAGAGGACUGAAAAAGAAAGAGAUAAGUGGUAUAUGAAUUCAAUAUGUUUGUCUAUUUUUACGCCUGCCCUGCCAAGUAGAAGGAUGGAUCCAGUUCCCCUACUAGCUAGAUUGCCAAUGCAUCAAAGAUAGCUAGGUCCAGUAUUCUUUUUCAUCUUGGAUCUUGUCUUUUACUUACUAUUACAAAGCAUAAGCAAUCGUCGUAAGUCAGACAAAGGGUUAGGAACUAUAAUUAAAGUCAUUUUGAUGAAAACUUGGUGAUUUCUUAUACCAUUUAUUACUUAAAUUACAAUUGCAAUUAUAAUUAUAAUUAUAGUUUAACUUUUUAAAAUUUUUGUUAAACAUCCAUUUAACACCAUUUAACACGACUCCAUUUUAAUUUAUAUGCACACUAACAUCAUAAACAUAUAAUUUAUUAUUUAUAUAUCAUUUACACCAUGUUUGAUUGGGUGUAAUGAAUUAGCCAUUACACCCCUAUUCCGUGGACCCACUUAAUCCCUUGUUUGGUUCAAUGUAUUGCCCUAAUACGGGCUUAUUACAUUACGGAGGUAUUCCUUAUUUUCUCUGCUUCAACGCUAAUUUCUAAUACCUUCCAAAAGUAAGGAUUAGCUAAUCAGAGUCUAUUUUACCCUCCCAGCCGUCUUCUCAUUUCUUUCUCAUUUCUCAUUUCUUUCUCACAUCUGAAGCAUCUUCUUCUUUUUUUCAUUUUUCUUUCCAUUUCCUUCCAACCUUCUCCCUCCUUUUCAUGCUUCUAUCCUGACCAACCCUUUAACAAACCCUAACAACCCUCAACAAGGCCUUCAAUUACAAAUCGUAUGAGGUAACAGAGUAACAGAGAGUAGCAGCAAUGGUUUCCAAGUACGCUUCUCCCUUCUUCUAUUCCUUUGAUUUCAAUUAAAUUUCUUUAUAUAUACCAUGAAUUUAAUGAUCUGUUCUUGAAAUAUUGUUUCUUUAUUUUUUUUGUUUUCUUCAAAUGCAGUGAGUAGGGAAGUCUUUUGACAUUGUCUGCCAAUUAUCUCCAAAUGCAGUGACUUCAAAUGCAAUGAAUCCCAAUUCAAUCAAGGUAAACAUUGUCUGCCCUAACAUUCUUUCAACAUGUUUUCCCUUUUAUGUUUUUUUAUGACGAAAGAUUCAACAUUUGUAGAAAUUGAAUCUCUUCUCCCUAACCUUGUCUGCCCUAACCUUCGAAUCUGUAUUUGCUGAUAUGAGGUUUAAUAUUUGUAUUUGUAAAUCUCUUCUCCCUUCUAAUUACAUUUUCUUAUGAAAAAAAAACCACCUUUAAAAAGGAGUAGAAUAAAGGGAUAAAAGAAGAGAGAACUUCUUCUGACUAAAUGCUGGGCAACGAGUGCGGUAGAGGUCUACACAGUUCCACCUAAAAUGGGAGUGGUUUAUUAAGACCUAAUGUUGUGCUAUAUUUCAAUCUAUGCGCUUACACAACACACAUGCAUACAUACAGCUACUGUAUUGUAUUCAAAUGAAAAACUAGACUACUUGGAUCAUCAAUUUAUAUAAUGAAUGCCUCAACUUGUAUGUAUUUAGCAAAGAAAGAUGAGAACCAGGAACUGAGGGUAUCCCUUUAUAAAUUUGUCAAAUUACAUCCACCUUGGGGGAAUUUAUCAAUUAUUUUCUGCAAGUCCAAGGAUAAUCCAAAAAUAUGCUAAUGCCAAUCUGUAGGUUUCAAAUUGAUGAUAUGAGGUUUAAUAUUUGUAUUUGUAAAUCUCUUCUCCCUUCUAAUUACAUUUUCUUAUGAAAAAAAACCACAUUGAUGCUCAUUCGUUGAUGUUACUUAAAAAAAAGAGUUGUUGCAGGGGAGACCAAAGUCCAUUUUCGUAUUACAUUUGUACAUAUGCUAAUGUUCAUUUUCUACAUCCUUGUCUCGUUGAAGCAGUCCCCUAGUACUGGGGUUUGAUUGAAAAUUAGCAUAUGUGGAAAUCAAGUAUCAAGUAUCAAGUUUCGAAUUUCAAGUCGAAUUUAAACUCAAACUUAUCAAUAUUGGAGCUCGGCUCAACUCAAUUACACCCCUAAUUUCUACUGCAGUAGUUAGUCCACUAUAGAUAUGAUAUUUUAAUCUAAAUUAUCUUUUUUAUAUUAGUCCACAAGCAAGCCCUGUCCCUCUCUUGAGCAUUGUUUCUUGAAUUUAUCAUUCAUUUUGAAUUUCCUAUAUAAAUAUCCACUACAAGGUAACUUUUAGAAUGCCAUAUUUGUCUACCUCUUGUACUCUCUUGCACUUGAGUGUGGUUAGAUACAUAUAUACCCUAAACCCAAUUAAACUAGCUUUCCUUUAUAAGCUAAUUUUUUAUGAAAUGAUCUUUUUCAAAGUUCAACUUCGUUGAGCAAGCUAAGAUGGCAAAUAAUUGGAUUUAUCCAACCUUUUUUAUGCAGGUGAAUGUAGGAGAAUGUCAUUACCAGCAAUGUUAGUAGGGGAAACAGUGGGUGAAAUGCUUCAAGCAAAUCAAUUUGCAAGACAGAUCCUAGCUGUUGUUGAUAACAAAACCAAGAAUACUUCUGCGGAUCCUAAAACUCCAUUGACUGAACACAGGAAGCAAAGAUGUCAAUUUUUAAAGGUAAUUGCAUGAACCAAUUGAGUUAAAACUCAAAUUUUUCCGUUGUUUUUUUUCUAGUUUUGCCAUGAUAUGUUCCCUGUUCUGCUAAAAUAUACUGUUCUUGGUGCUUCUAGUCUCUGAUGGAAAAGGAUGAUUCGAAAUGCGGGCAGAAUGCGGUGGUGGAGAGGAAAACCGUAUUAGUCCCGAAAAGUGAGACCAUAGUUCAUGCAAUUGUUAGGAAUGUUAAAACAUUUGACUACCAAUUAAGCAAUGGUGAUAUGAAGCCAAUAAAAAAAGGUUUGAAUGGUUUGAAAACAACUCGGAAGCAGCGAUCCAAAGGAAGUAAGUGAAAAACGAGACUGUAGAGACUUGAGAGACAAAAGUGUUUGUAUAUGAGGUAAAAUUGGAUUAGAUGGAGUGUGCUAUAUAUAUGUAUAUGGGACUGAGUGAAUUUUGAUAGGUAUUAGCACUCGGGUCUCUAAAAGCCAGCAUGGUUAGUGUAACAUCAUCACCCAGUUUUAUAGGGACAAGAUUUUGGAUAUUAUCUCAAACGUUUUAAGGCCUAUUAACAUAUGGCGUAAAUUUUAAGCACAAUCCCUAUAUUAUUGUAUAACCAUAGAUACAGCCCUCAAUCUUUACCAUUUUGGUUAAUUUAGUCUGUAACAUUUCCCUUUUAUUUCUUCUUCAAUUCUAUUUAGAUUCUACCAGAAAGCAAUUUCACAUUUUUUCUUUUUUUAAUCUUACUAGGUUAAUAUUUUACUAUACCUCUAUAGAACACUUGUCAAUCUUUUGACUCUAUUUGUGGAGUCUAAAAGUGUAUCAUUUAAUUGUUUAAAGCACCAUUUUCCAAAUCUAAUAAAAUUCAUCAAAUUUAUUUAUUAAAUUUUCAUCAUAAUAAAAUUGAAGAAAAAAAUGUGAGAUUCCUCCUCAGAAUUGAAGAGAAAAAGGACAAAAAUUAAACCUAUAAUUUGCCUCAGAUGAAACAAAGAGUUUGACAAAUUCGUGGUGAAAUCAGGUUUAGUAAGAGAGAAUGGUUUAAAUGCCAAAAAAUUUGAUUAUAUUUAAUAAUAAUUAUGUUAUAUUAUAUUUUAUACUAUUAUAUAUUAUAAUUUUAGUAAAUUCAUAUAAGAAUAUUUAAUAUUAAGAAUUUUAUUAAAUCAUAUAUUUUAAUUAAAAUAUAUUUAAUAAUAAUUAUGUUAAAUUAUAUUUUAUAGUAUCAUAUAUUAUGAUUUGAGUAAAUUCAUAUAAGAAUAUUGAUUAUUAAGAAUUUUAUUAAAUUAUAUAUUUUAAUUAAAAUAUAUUUAAUAAUAAUUAUGUUUAAAUAUGAUUAAAUUAUUUAUUAUUGAUAAUAAUAAUCUUAUUAAAAUUUAAAUAACAAUAACAAUAAUCAUUUACCAAAACAAAUUUAUGCUAAGGGUAUUCUAGUCAUUUUAGUUUUUUCCAUUAUGCUAUUACACUUCUAUUCCAUUCAACCAAACACAAGAUUACUAUUACGCCUCUAUUCCAUUACAUUCAACCAAACAGUUGAUUUGCUAUUACACCUCUAUUCCAUUACACCUCUAAUCCAAUACAGCAAACCAAACGUGUUUUGUACAAAUUCUUCAAAUUUUCCAUUAAAAUUCUUCCCUAAAUCACGUCUUUUGAUUUUACUUACCUGAUUCCCCCAUCCAUGGCCCUGAUUACAGGAUCAUUAACGCCCGAGUCCGCUGCAAAAACUAAAAAUUGUGAACCCCCAAUCCAUUGUCGGAGUCGUCGUCCCUCACUAUUUCUACAUUACAUACCCUUCCUCUUUUUCAUCGUUCCACAAGCAUCCAUGGCCUAUAGUUUUCCUUUUCCACACGCCGCUGAAUACCCAUGUUUUCAACCAUCGUUUCUUCCCCAUUAACACCAGUAUUCAAUGCCUUAUUCUUGCUCUCUGAGCAUAGAUCAAAAUUAUGGCCAUGAAGCCCAUAAUUGAAACAUACAAUUUGGAAAAUAUUCAUACUCAAUUCGUUGUAUAUGACCAUUGAUCUUGACUUUCAACACCAAUACUUUCUUUAAAUCCACACAUACUGCCAAUCGAGUAAAACCUCCCCGCCUUCCACUAUCCAGGUGAGUAUCAAGUUUAGCCACUGGUCCUAUAGCUUGUCCAAUAGCACAAAUCAAGCAUUUUGAGUAAUAGCUUUCUGGCAAACCCCAUAGCCUUAUCCACACCAUUUGUAUAUCCACUUCAUUAUACGAAAUCGAAAACUCCGGUGACCAAGGAUUCACAGUCAAAUAUUGACCAAAGAUUAACCAUGGUCCUCCGACCAACACGUUAUUAAAAUCUCCUUCAUCUUGGAACCAAACUAAGUAGUAGUCAUUCUCUAAGUCCUUAAGUUGUAAAGGUUGUCUAAGACUCCAUAAAGUCGUCACCUUAUUAAGUACAGCAUUAAAACCUAUUUUCCUACCCAGAAGUUUGACGAUAAUGGUCCUAGCCAUCUUCCUCCCAAUGAACUUAUGAACCCGAUCAGAAAAGGUAAUCGACAGUACUCCUUCUACUAACUUCGUGACUACAUCUCCAUCAUGAAGUACAAACUCCUCCUCCAACUUCUCCGGUGAAUAGGCAUUCAGGGAAGUGCUUAUCAACAUAGAUUUAUACGACAUUUAUCCACUCCCACAUCUUCAAUCUUCUGACCAUUUUCAUCCACUGUUGGAUCAUCCAUGGCGAAGGAUCCAUCCUCUUCCUUACCUUCUUUGUUGCCCUACGCACAUAUCGUUAUUUAACUCUGUAGGGCACUUCCCUACCACAAAAUUCUCCAAAGCGGAGAGACAUCCAUUCAAAUCAGUUAAAUUUGAUUAUUAACACUUCAAAAAAAAAAAGUCAAUGAUUUUUUUCACAUAAUACUAACUAAAAUAUUAAUUUUUAACGAUGUUGACGUAACAACUUAUGUGACAGCCUACAUGUACUUUAUACUAACAUAACACUAGUUGUCUUAUACGUUAUUUGAACAAAUAAUUUAAAAAUUACAAAAAUAUUUUUAAAAAAAUGAGAAAUUUCAAAAUUAAAAAAAAAUAUAUAAAAAGUUGAAAAAAAUAGCAUGAAAUAUAUAUGAGUUGUCAUGCAGUUUGUCAUAUUUAAAAAUUUUACAUUUUAGUUAGUAUUUUCUUUAAAAAACAACAAUUCGACUCUUUUUGAAAGGAUGGUAGUCAAAUUAGACUCUUUUUAAAAAAUUGAAAGUUAAAUUUAACUAAAAAAAGAGUCAAAUUAACUAAAAAUGUAAACUUUGAGAACUAAACUUGACAUUAUGCCAUUUUAAAGCAUAGGAAAUUAAAUUAGAUGAAUUCAACUUGAUAAAUUAUUUAAACUCAAUUUUAUUUAAUAUUUUUUAAAAAUAUAUCUGAAAUACCACCAAUUAUAUUUUUUAUACUCCACAAGAGUUGAGAGUUUGACUUCAAUUACCCAUAUUUUUUUAUCUAAUUGUGAAUUUAAAUUUGCACUAAUAGCCUGUGCUAAAAACAAGUUUUAACUCUCUUUUUUCGAUAUUAAAAACAAGAUUUAACUUAAUUUCAUCUCUUCAAGUAAUCCAAUGUAACUGAUAAGCCCCCUUCUCUCCCCCAUAUACAUGCAAAAGCAAAUUGCUUGCAAAAUAAACGGAUCAUUUUAUUUAACACCAUUCCGUUGUUUUCGUCAACAAUUUGCUUGUGGUUAUGUUGUCUCCGUUUCUUCUGUACCCAUCCCUCCACCGAAAGGAUCCCUCGGUCAUCUCUGUAGAAACCAUUUUUUGAAAACAGGAUCGACUUGAUUUUGAAGACGAAAUUUAAAACGAGAGCCGCCACCGAUCUUGAUUUGGUGUGAUCAGGUCACCUUUGUUUUAAUAAAACAAUUUUAGUUUACUAGAACGACAUUUUGGUCUACGAAAUCCAAGAGAAUAGGUUCGGGUGUCGGUUACGUGCGAGGAAGGAUUAGCACCCUCGACACACCCAAAAAUUGGUACCGAAUUGAUUAGUUAAUGUCUUAAUGUCGAAAGCUAAAAAUCGGGAAUGGAUUUUUAAAUACAAUUUUUUAUUAAUAUCGAUUUUAAAAUUCUUGAAUUAGCUCAAAAUGAUUGUUAAAGAUUUCCUUAUCUCGAGAUAUCGGGGUAUCACAUUCCGUAAGUUAGGACACAAUACCAUGAAUUCUCGAGCGGAAGGUCAUCUUUUAUUUUAACUAGAAAUCCAUGUGUUUUAACUCGAAAAGGAUAUUUGUUAUUUAGAAACAAUGAGAAAAUUGAAACCCCGUAAGUUAGGGCACAAUUCCCGGAUGUUCCAAAAUGCGAAACAUUACUUUAUUUUGAAAUUCUAGUUUUUGAAUAGUAGCAAAGGUAGUAUUUAAACGAUGUACGUUAUUUGUUUAGGUUAAAACGAAGCGAUUUAUUGGAUAAAUGUAAUGAAAUUUAAUUGAUAAGGCGAUAAUAAAAAAUAAAAAUAUGAUGCGACAUAGAGUGAUGAUACAUGAAUAAAGUAUUACGCGAGCAAAUGACAAUAGAGGAAAUACAAAUAAACGAAUUAUAACACACACAAUGGCAAUAACAUAACAUAUGUCAAUUAAAUAACAAGCUUAAUAAACACAGAAAUGAGGUGAUAAUAUAAAAUGAUUUGAAUCAAACAAAUAGAUAAUCUUAAAUAUAAAAUAUAUACAUAAAGGAUUUUAAAAUAAAUACUAUAAAGGCAGCUUAAAGUAAAUAAUAAAAAAAAUCUAAAAUCAUUAAUGAAAAGUUUAAAAUCAUAAUACGUAAAAAGAAGUUCAAAAUAAAUAAUAUACAUAGUAUAAAAACUUACAUAAAUAUAUGCAUAAAAAAAUAGACAACGAGCAAAGGGUUUAAGAUAAAAACAUAUGAAAAUUUGAAAAUAAAUGCCCUAUACAAUAAGGCAGUUUAAGGAUAAACGUUAUAUAAAUUUAAAAUAAUAAGUAAUUCAAAAAUGAUAUAUAAAAAGGUUUAAAAUAAAUAAACGAAAAGCAAUGUAAAAUAAUUAACAUGUAUAUAAUAAUUCAAAAUGAUAUGUAAAACCAAAACAGUAUAAAAUAGAUAAUAUAUAAUAUAGUUUAUGAUAAAAAUAAGUCAAAAAUGAAUAUUAUGUAGAUAGAAAUUUAAAAUAAGUAACAUACAAAACAUUUAAAAAAGGGUAUAUAUGAAAAUGGAUAACACAUAUAGAAAUUUGGAAGUAAUAAUAUACAAAAAAAGAAUAUUUUAGAAUACAUAAUAAAACAAUUUAGGAUGAAUAAUACAUUUAACGAAUUUAAAAUAAACAAUGGAUAAAGCAAUUUAAAGUAUAUGAAAUAAUUUAAAAUAAUAUAUAUCUAAGACAAUUUAAAACAGUAUAAUAUAUAAAAUUUAAGGUAAAUGGAAAUAGUUUAAGAUAAAUAAAUAAACGAAAUGUCUAGAUUGUCAUGAAAAAAAGGGUGAAAUUACAAAUAAAACAAAGAUUAAGGGUCCAAAUUCGAAUAAAAUAAAUGCGAAUAUUAAAAGGACUAAAUUAAAAUCUAAAUAAAAUUAAAGAGAGAAUUCAGAAAGAAAAAAAAAGGGUAAUAGACUUAUUUAAAACGUGCCGAAACCUCAAGGGACUGGUUGGAAAAUUUUCCCCAACCCCUUAUGCGCAACGUUUAAUUUGUCUAGGUCAGGGACCAAAUCAGUAAUGAAAUAAAAUAAUUGGGCGCUAUUAGAAAGGAUAAAAAAACGCAAAUUAGGAUCAAAUCAAGGGUCAGAAAAGGGGGAGGGCCAAAGUGGGUAAUUUCCCAUUCAAGGGAGACAUGCGGACCCCUCCCCUUUCUAAACGGUGCCAUUUGCUUCUUUUAUUUAAGUUAAUUUUUUUUUAAAAUUCAUUCUUCUACUGGUGUUUAAAAAAAAAACUUUUAAACACCCCCCAUUUCAAUUCCUCUGCUAAGGUUUUAAACCCCCCAUUUUUGCCUCAUCCAUGGCCGACCAUGAACUCCUCGGCGGUCCUCCACGCCCAUGCCACGAAUCUGUGACCAGUAUUGUGCGAUGUGGGAUUCUCCGACCCUCUUUGAACGAGUUCGAGGAUGGAAUCUCCCCAACUUGCGGCACCAUAAAGAGAGGAGGAGCCUUUUGGUUUCUCUCAAUCCGCCACGGCCAAUGGCCAAACCCCAAAGGUUCGGCGACCUUCAGAUCGGCGAGGGAAAGUCGGAGCACGCCCCAAGCAGUAAACCGUAAGUUUCCUUUUUUAUUAUUCGUAUUUUAUUACUGUUUCGUGUGUAAAAAAUGAAAAAGAAAUAAAGAAGAAAGCAAAUCUAUGUGGAAAAGAAUGAAAAUCGAAACUCAACAAUAAUCACCUUUUGAAAUCGUCUAUUCUUUUGAUUAAUUUCGUUUGGUAAAUGUCUGUAGUUGUUUACAAAGCAUAGAUUUCGGCUUUUAAAGCCAAUUUACCAACCGUUCACUUCCCCUUUUUUGUUCUUUUGUUCAUUAUUUUCUUUUGCAUGCUCUCUGUUGUUGCAUCUGAUUUGAUUGCAGAUGUUAGAAGUGAAAGGCUGGUGGUUGGCUUGAGGGGAGGCCAAGGGUUCGGCAGCACGCGUGGCUACUGAAAAAAAUAAAUGUAGUGGGCUAUUAGGGUUAGUUUAGGUAAUGGGCUAAUAGGGUUUUGAUUUGUUUUUUGUUUUAAUCUGUAAUGGGCCAUUUAUUUUGGACUUUUAAUUUGGGUUUUAUUAUUUUGUUGGCCAGGCCAAAAUUGGCUAUAACAGCUGCCCCUCUUUGCUCAUUCUCGUGUAAUGAGAAUGGAGCAAAGACCUUAAAAUAGCCAAUUUUGCCUUGUCUAACUGGAUCUUGGCUUCUUGGUGCUUCUUUUCUUCGAGUAACCUCGCUCCAUCCCACUACAUCUUCAGGGGUAUUGGAAUUAAUUCUUUGGUUUGCUCCAAUGUAAUUUCAGGGAGAGGAGACUUGUAGCUUCGAUCAACUCCGCUGGAACUUCAAAGGACUAUGUAACAGCCCGAUUCUGGGCCUAGUCGGAAUAGUGGUUUCGGGACCACAAAUCCGACGAGGGAAAAUAUGGUUAUUAUUAUAUUUUUAUGAUCUACAAUUUCACGGAAAAUUUUCGUAAAAAUUUCGUUCGAAAAUUUUGACGUUUGGGCACUCAAUUUAGUCAAAAGGACUAAAUUGUAAAUAGUGCAAAAGUUGAGUUCUACAUCUUAGAGGUGUCUAAUUGUUAUGAAAUUUUAAAUUGGAGGUCUUUAUGUGGUAAUUAGACCAUUAGUUAGUUGAUGGACAAAAAUAGACAUAAGAAAUGGGUGAAAUAGAUUUUUUUAAAAUGGGGGCAUUUUAGUCAUUUGGUUAUUAAAUAGAAUUAAAUGG
RNAcentral lists this long non-coding RNA (14323 nucleotides) under Gossypium barbadense (sea-island cotton). RNAcentral describes it as "long non-coding RNA (GBAR_LNC022996)". Lineage: Eukaryota; Viridiplantae; Streptophyta; Magnoliopsida; Malvales; Malvaceae. The record is from RNAcentral.